Long non-coding RNA from Felis catus (domestic cat), 3194 nucleotides. RefSeq lists it as uncharacterized. The transcript is spliced from 2 exons. The record is from RefSeq and is a predicted model, not a curated record. Lineage: Eukaryota; Metazoa; Chordata; Mammalia; Carnivora; Felidae.
AUCACCUUUAAUAAGAUUGGAGCUACCCAAAAGCUAAGGUGUGGGCAGGAGCUGGGAACCCAGAAGGAGAAGUACGGGCCAAACCCUCACCCCCUGGACACCAUCCACUUCCUGGGGAGAUUCCUUCAGGGCUUUGAGGUCCUGGAGCAGAGACCUCUGUCCACGGAGCAGGGCGCUGACCUUGGCAGAAUCCUGCAGCAGGGCCAGCCUGUUCUCCAGGGCCCAGGCCACAGCCCUUCUCUUCUCAGAGUCUACCUUCCCGGGGACACUGUAGCCUCUUCCUUCUGGAACGCCUUACCACCUCACCUGGCCCUUCCUCAGUUUGGAUAUUAUCUGACACGUUGAGUUUAUCCCCUGUGCAUCUGGGCUUCUGGAUUCCCCCUCUUCUCAAAUCCCUCCCCCUGAGGGUCAUGGGCUUCCUCCCCCUUUCAGAAGUGGUUCUGCCCUUAAAGGAGGCAGAGGCCCAGUCCAGUCUUCUACCUACCGCCCCCCUCUCCCCGACCCCAACCGCAGGGCACAGUCCAGGAUGGGGCCAGUGCCGAGCAACUCUCAAUGCUUAGGCCUCUGUCUCGGUGAGUGGCCUGGAGAAGUGGCUGCCCCUCUCUGGGGUGGAGAGAAUCUGGCAGCAAGAGUUCUGGGCCUGGAAGUAGGAUCAUAGAGGCCUAGCCUUGGAGUGUGGCCCCGUCCCCACUCCCCCACUCCAGCAGCCCAGCCUCAGCUGCUCUGGCCUGAGGACACAAGAUGCCAGAGCUCAGCAAAGCCCACAGGAGCCGCCGGCUUCUUCUGCCUGGCAUCUAACAGCUUGACUGAGUUCAGCUCUCGGGCCCCAGGCUGGGCGUGCCACGGGGCAUGACUGUUUGGAAGAGAAGCCAGGAUGGCAGUGGAGAUAAAAACGAGGAUUCUGGUGCGUCUGAGCAUUAAGCAAGCCGUAUGGGAACCAAAUCACAUGUGGAGCUACAUGCAAAUUAGCACCCAGUCUAUUUCUGGCGCUUGUCUACAGACCCGUGUCCAAAUACCUGGCAUCUCCUCUCCCCAGCCCCGGCCGCGUGGAUCCGUGGGCAUUUGCUCGUGCAGGGCUACCCUCCUGUAUGCUCCCCCGCCUGGCAGGUCUACCCCCUCCUGCAACCUGCAGCACUGCACCCCUGCCCUCCUUUCCCUCCAGACCUUGGGGGAGACUAGAUCCUAAGUAUAGUGCUUGCUCCUCUUUCUGGACAAAGGGAGCUCACCGGUGCCAGGAACCCAGUGGCUAGGGAGCUUGCUUUUCCAGGCCUGCAGGCAGAGCCUUGGGUGCCCAAGGGGCCACUCACCCAGGCUCCCUCAGGCCUGGCAUGGCCUGGGGUCCCCAGGUGCUUCUUCCACUGCCUCUCGGCCUGGGCCAACUGUCUGGAGAGACCCUGGAGAGCCUGCAGGAUCUGGCGGUGUCUGCCCAGCGUCUCUUCCAGGCCAAGGAUCCUUUUCCCUGGAGAUUGGGGCAGAGCUGGGCCCGGUAGCCCACUGCAGUGGGGUAGCAGAUCCUAUCUUUUGGGGCUUAUUGGAGAGGAGGGGCAGAAAGACAUGGCUUCUGCCUCUAGCUCACCCCCAGAAAGUUGUGUCUGGGUGGUGGGGUGGGGAUCGGACAGAGCCUGGGCCCCGGGGUCUGCUAGAUAUGGCCUCCUCGAACCUUCGUCUCCCGAUUGGUUAAAGCACUCCUGCUUCCAAGGGAAGAGGAUCCUGUGAUGCUCAAAUGGACCCCUACUUCCCCUGCCUGCUCCCUGGGUCCCUACCCUCUUCCUGGACUUCGGAGCUCAGCUUUGGGAUCACAUCCUCCCUGGCGCCCAGGGCCAGCCUUGCCCGAAGCCCUGCCAGCUGCUUCACCAGCCGGAGCUGCUCCAUCUCCAGAAAGGGCGGUGGGGGAGGCUGGAGAAAGAAGACCAAACUCAGGCCUGAGACGCCUGGGAGAGCUGCGGGUGAGGGGAGCCUUCCCACGGGGCCUCCACAAGUCCAGUCCCGCUCCCGGACCAAACAUGCAUCCCACCCAGGGAAGACGCACCCCGGCCACCAAGCCCUGUGGUUUCAGGCUCUGCUGCUGCCGAUCCCCCACACUUAUGUCUCCAGCUGCCGCCCAGGCCCCAGCGGCUCGCCCAGGACUCAGACCUUUGUGCUGCUCCUCCACUCAGCUACUCUCUCUGCCCUUUCAAGCUCAUGCCUUCCAGGUGGCUUUCCCUGCUCCCCUGGCUGGUCAGGACCCGUCCUCUGUGCUCCCACAGCCCCCUGACGGCCUGGGAGGUGCUUCAGGAACGGGGCCUAGCCCUAGGUCACCUCUGGCCCCCCGCACUGCCCAGCACAAGGCCUGGUCUGAGCAACUCAGAGAGAGAGAAAGAGCGGGAGAGAUCAGUAGAGAUAGCGGCUCGAAUGACAGGGCUGAACACAUCAUGACAUAGAAGCAUCUGGGGCAGGAAGGGGUCCCUGGACUGUCUCCCCCAGCAAUCCCUGAAGGCUGACCCAGGGGUGGCAUCACCUUUGGAUCCGGCUCACUCAGACUGAAGGUCAGGAAGGACAGGAUGUCAUGGUCAUCUGGAAGGGGGGGCAGAGAAGGGAAGGUAAGACCCCCGCCCUUGCCCAGCAGCCCACUCACUCGGCCCUCACCCCCCCCCGCCCCCCCCAUCCCCCCGCCCGGCUCUAUUAUAUUCCAGGCAGGCAGGAGAUCUGGGUGACUCUGGGCCUCUCUAACCUUCGUCUUGCUCACUUCAUGGGAAAGGUGUGAGGGGCAGACAAGCAGAUGGGUGGACUGUGAGGGUUGACCCACACGCAGAGCCAAGGGUGAGCCCACACUGAGUGGGAAAACUGGAUGGUCCUGGGCUACAGCCAUGGCAACAGAAUGAGUGACACCCUCAGGCCCCAGAGUGGCAGAAGCAACCAAAUGACGGCCACCUCCUCAGCAUGGCUCUGAGACCGUGUCACUUUCCUCCUUGGAAACCUUCCACUGCUCCCUAGUGCUCAGAGUCUAAAGACUAAAGUCCGAGCCUUCAAGAACUCCCACCCUCCAACUGCACCCUGCUUGCCAGCUGUGGGUCCCUCCGUGGACUCUUCAUUAUGUUACACCCCUUUGCGGUUUCCUCAAUGUCCUCAUGGCUGUCCCUCUUCUACUUGCCCCACAGUUCCCAGCUUGGGGCACUUAUGGGGCCAUCACUGGAAUAAAAGCUUCUUGUGCUUUA